RNAcentral lists this ribosomal RNA (353 nucleotides) under uncultured Prevotella sp. RNAcentral's name for it is "bacterial SSU rRNA". It matches the Rfam family "Bacterial small subunit ribosomal RNA", at positions 355 to 705 of the family's 1533-position model. Lineage: Bacteria; Pseudomonadati; Bacteroidota; Bacteroidia; Bacteroidales; Prevotellaceae. The record is from RNAcentral.
UGAGGAAUAUUGGUCAAUGGGCGAGAGCCUGAACCAGCCAAGUAGCGUGCAGGAUGACGGCCCUAUGGGUUGUAAACUGCUUUUAUAAGGGAAUAAAGUGGGUCUCGUGAGACUUUUUGCAUGUACCUUAUGAAUAAGGACCGGCUAAUUCCGUGCCAGCAGCCGCGGUAAUACGGAAGGUCCGGGCGUUAUCCGGAUUUAUUGGGUUUAAAGGGAGCGCAGGCCGGCUGUCAAGCGUGUUGUGAAAUGUAGGGGCUCAACCUCUGAACUGCAGCGCGAACUGACGGUCUUGAGUGCGCACAACGUUGGCGGAAUUCGUCGUGUAGCGGUGAAAUGCUUAGAUAUGACGAAGA